CUAUGCCAUCAUUUUGUUGGAGACUGCCACACGAAGAGACCUGGUCUUGAAAGAAGAGCCUCAUUCUGUGGGGCAUCCUUGUGUCUCCCUCUUGAGGAGCUGAUUACAGGGAAGACUGAGAAUCUCUGUCCUUGCCCUUCAGGGUAUGCAGAGUGACAUCGUGGGCUUCACUCAGCUUUCCAGAACCAGAAUGCCAAAUCAGGUAGUGGACUUCCUGAACAAGAUGUACACCACCUUUGAUGAAGUUAUAGGAUGUUCAGCUGUGGAAAUCAGCUACCUUGCGGUGAUAAAGCCCCAACCAACUCCCACAGAGAGCCCACAUGGAGAAGCCACAUGGAGAGAACUGAGCUCCCCUGCUGAUGGCCAGAAUCAACUGCCAGAC
Molecule: long non-coding RNA, 382 nt
Organism: Lagenorhynchus albirostris (white-beaked dolphin)
Lineage: Eukaryota; Metazoa; Chordata; Mammalia; Artiodactyla; Delphinidae
Exons: 4
Source: RefSeq, a predicted model, not a curated record